AGAACGAACGCUGGCGGCAUGCCUAACACAUGCAAGUCGAACGAGACCUUCGGGUCUAGUGGCGCACGGGUGCGUAACGCGUGGGAAUCUGCCCUUGGGUUCGGGAUAACAGUUGGAAACGACUGCUAAUACCGGAUGAUGACUUCGGUCCAAAGAUUUAUCGCCCAGGGAUGAGCCCGCGUCGGAUUAGCUAGUUGGUGGGUAAAGCCUACCAAGGCAACGAUCCGUAGCUGGUCUGAGAGGAUGAUCAGCCACACUGGGACUGAGACACGGCCCAGACUCCUACGGAGGCAGCAGUGGGGAAUAGUUGACAAGUGGGACGAAAGCCUGACUCCAGGCAAUGACCGCGU
This 350-nucleotide ribosomal RNA is filed under the name uncultured soil bacterium. Its description in RNAcentral is "bacterial SSU rRNA". It matches the Rfam family "Bacterial small subunit ribosomal RNA", at positions 26 to 402 of the family's 1533-position model. The record is from RNAcentral.